UUAGAAUUUGGUAGUAUAUCAAUCAAAUCAAAUGGACAAUUGAGUUGAGGGAGUGAUGGGGCCUACUUUAAAAUAGGAAAAAUUCUAGAAUGCAAUGGAUAUAUUAGUGACGUGGCGUAACAAACCAAUCAAGUUAAUCUUUUUAAGAAUAUAUGUCCCAUCAUGAUUGUAAAAAAGUAUUUUUAUUGUACUUUUAUUUGAAAAGAAGGAAUAUGAUUGGCUUGUUAUUGAUGACGUGGUGCAAGUGUGACAGUGUAGAAUUCCUCUUAAAAUAGGGCUGUUAACGAACACAAGCAGACUGAGCCGAAAAAGAACUGGCUCAUAGACAACAAGUUAAAUUAUUAGGUUUAUCGUUACACAAAAUUUAAAAAAAAAUUAAAAAUAUAAUAUUUUGCCUUAAUAACUAAAAUUUAUAAAAUAUAAUUUUUUAAUAUUUAAGUUGACCUAAAAUACAAAUAAUUAAAGUACCAAAUACUUAGUGCUUGUAAGUUUUCAACCGUUAGAUUUAUUUUGUUAAGUAAUUUUAUUCUUUAUAUUAUGCUAUUCCACCAACUACCCAGCUCAAUUCUAAUGGAUCAUUAUUAAUUCUAACCCUACAAAUCUUUAUGUAAAGGUCAAAAAUUUAUAAGCACCAAUAAAUUUGUGCUUUUAAAAGCAUAGGAGUCGUUAAACAUGAUUUAUAUCAUUUGAAGUGUUUAAAAACUACGUUUCAAAUCUUUACAAUAUUAUUGACCUAAUAAUCAAAAGAUUUCAAAAUUUAUAAUUUUAAUGGUCAAUACGAAGCAUUUUUUUAUUUAAUGACGUAAAGAUAUUCAAAUUAAUUAAAUUUUGGUUAGUAAAUUUUUUAAAUUAUUUAAAGCAAGAUCUAUACUCUUGACCUUAAUUACAAGAUUUCUAUCAUCACUUUUUAAAAAAUAUUUAUUUUCAGUCGUUAAGUUUUGUAUCUACUCGAUGGAUAAGAGAACAAUACAAAAAAAAUUAUGAAAUUUGGCUUCUAAAUACGUCAAACGUAUCGAUCACGUUCAACGAUGCGAUUCCAUCAUUGAAAAUAAGUGGGUGGUAGUAGAGCCUAUUUACUACUAAUAGUAUUCCAGCUCAUCUCUUUCUCACCCCCCUCUCUCUCUCUCUCUCUCUCUCUCUAUAUAUAUAUAUAUAUAUGAGCUAGGCUGGUAUACUAUCGGUAGCACCAAGUUGUUUUCAAUAGUGCGGCUUUCAAAUCGACGAUCGGCUCCGUUAGACUUGAUCUACACUAUAAAAAAUAUUUGGAAACUAAAUUUUAUAAUUUUUCGGUGUCAUUUACCUAUCAAACGAGUAGUUUAAAAAUGAAUGGCUGAAAAUAAAAAUCUCAUAAAAAAUGAUGAUAAAAGACUUAAACUUAAGAUCAGAGGUACUGAUCUUAUUCUAAAUAGUGAAAGGAAUUUUCUAUAAAAAUUUCAUCAGAUUUGAAUUGUUUUACACCGUUAAAUUCACAAACGCAUCACAUCUACCAUUAAAAUUGUCAAUUUUGAAAUCUUUUGAUCACUAGCCAAAUGAUGUCGAAAAAUUAUGAAAUUUAGUUUCCAAAUACUUUUAAUAGUGUAGAUCAAGUCUAAUGGAGCCGAUCGUCGAUUUAGACACCACAUCAUUGAAAACAACUUGGUAGCACGGAGGCCUCCGUGCUACCGAUAUAUAUAUAUAUAUAUAUAUAUAGGAUAGGGCUACUACGCUACUAUACUCUUAUGAGUAUAGAGCCUUUUGUAUUCAUAAGUUUUCGAUCGUUUGAUGAAGAGAUGUGCGCGGUUAGGAUGAUAGUGGUCUCCGGUUAGAAUGGUAUUAGUCCCUUAGGGUUGAGUGGGUGAUUGGUUGAAUAGUAUGAUCAACAGAUAAAAAUGGUCAAAGGGGUAGAUCUAACGGUCGAAAACUUAUGACUACAAAGAGCUCUAUACUCAUAAGAGUGUAGUAGCCGGACAAGUCGAAUAUAAGCGAGUUGACCGCAGCUCGUAUUAGGCUCGCUAAGAUUUCGAGUUGAAAAAUUCAGCUCGUGUUCGGCUCAUUUAUUUAAACGCGCAAUUGAUUAUGGGUGCAUUUCGAGCAAAACACGAGCUGAACAGUGAGUAGGAUUGCCAGCCCUCAAGCUACAUCAAGCCAAACACGAGCGAGCUGAUCACAGCUCAUAUUCGGCUCGUUAAGAUUUCAAACUAAAAAAUUCAAUUCGUGUUCAGCUUGUUUUUUUAAACAAGCAAUCGAUCGCGAGCGCAUUUCAAGCCAAAUACGAGCUGAACAGUGAGUUGGAUUGCCGGCCCUACUUUAAAUUAGGUAAAAAUUACUUCCAGAACCCCAGCAUUGGCCCUUCUAAUAUAACCUCCGCUGAUUAUUGUUUUUCGAUUGAGGCUCCCUUAAUUUUUAAUUAAUAAAAAUUAAAUAUUUUUUAUUCAAUAAAUUAAAAAUUUUAUUAAAAUAAAUAGUUAAAGUAUUUAAUAGAAAUUUAACUGCUAGUAGAUAAUUG
RNAcentral lists this long non-coding RNA (2485 nucleotides) under Ananas comosus (pineapple). RNAcentral describes it as "long non-coding RNA (ACOM_LNC016311)". Lineage: Eukaryota; Viridiplantae; Streptophyta; Magnoliopsida; Poales; Bromeliaceae. The record is from RNAcentral.